CCUACGGGUGGCUGCAGUGGGGAAUAUUGGGCAAUGGAGGCAACUCUGACCCAGCAACGCCGCGUGAAUGAUGAAGGUCUUCGGAUGGUAAAGUUCUUUUCUAAGGGAAGAAGAAAGUGACGGUACCGUAGGAAUAAGCCUCGGCUAACUACGGGCCAGCAGCCGCGGUAAUACGUAGGAGGCAAGCGUUAGCCGGAAUGACUGGGCGUAAAGGGGGCGUAGGGGGUUGGACAAGUUAGUAGCGCAACUCCGGAGCUCAACUUCGGAACUACUACGAAAACGGUUGGACUUGAGUGCAGGACGGGCAAUCGUACUUCCUGGUGUAGCGGUUGAAUGCGUAGAUAUUAGGCGGAACCCCAGUGGCGAAGGCGGAUUGCUAGACUGUACCUGACACUGAGGCAC
RNAcentral lists this ribosomal RNA (402 nucleotides) under uncultured bacterium. RNAcentral describes it as "partial 16S ribosomal RNA". It matches the Rfam family "Bacterial small subunit ribosomal RNA", at positions 338 to 754 of the family's 1533-position model. The record is from RNAcentral.